Clupea harengus (Atlantic herring) is the source of this 1197-nucleotide long non-coding RNA. The record is from Ensembl. NCBI's taxonomy places the organism in Eukaryota, Metazoa, Chordata, Actinopteri, Clupeiformes, Clupeidae.
AAACCAUAGUGCUCUUCACAUACGGGGACUACCUUGGAGGUGCCACCAUUGAGCAGUACAUUGAGAGUGAAGGGGAAGCCUUACAGUGGUUAGUUGAGAAAUGUGGGAACAGAUAUCAUGUUCUCAACAAUGACAAAAGAGGUGCUCAGCCGAUCGAGCUUCUCAAUAAGGUGGAAGAGACUUCAGCAGGACACAGCAGUUGUCAUUAUAAAAUAGAGAAAGACAGAAUACAUGAUGAAGAAGAGAGGAAGAGGGAGGAGGAGAGGAACUUUAGUUGGAUUAAAAAACAGAUAGAUGCAAUAGAAGCACCAACAGAAAUGGCUGAGAUCUCACAAGAGAAUGUGAGAGAAAACAAAGGUUUCUGGGUAAACAUGAAGAAGGUCAGGGGUGUGAAACGGAUGAGAGAGCUCAUUCUGAUGAACAGGCAUAAGAAGACCAAGACAAGAAGGUCAGUCACGGAGAAGAAAUAUUCUCAAAGUCAGGAGCCGAUAAUGGAGGAAGGAGAUGAAACUGGAAGGAUGCAGCUGCUCAAAGGAGAGAUGGAGGACGCUGACUCGGCAGAGAUAACGGAUGAUGAUACAUCAGAGGUGAUCUCAGUGAACAGUUCUGGAUAUGGGACACAAGCUACACAGACAGGAUCUUAUGCAAGUCUGAGGAGAGCAUCGGCAAAAUCUGAUAUCAGUUCUCUGAGGAGUGCAUACAAUAUAUCUAUCGACCAGUUCACUGAGAAUGACUUGGGGUCUGUAGAGGAGCUUUUGGAGUGGCUGCGCAUCGCAGACAAAGAAGAGAGCCAAUAUGAAACCAUAAAUGAAGAGGACGAUCAGCUGGAGAAGGUGGAGGGGAAUGGAUCUAAUGAAGUGCAUGGGCUGGACAUUUCAGGUGGUGAAAUGAUCUAUCAUCACUAUGGACAACGGUGCUGCAAUUCCUGUGCUGACAUCACAGAAUCCUCCCACUGGGUGCUGAUGGAGCCCUCUGUCUCCAUGGAGACCGGAGUCCCAGUAUAUAAACACAGAUCUCCUCCAGGAAGUUUUGAGUGUGCGGUGUCUGGUUUGCGCUGGGUUUGUACUGGUGAAGUCACUCUGCAGUAUCACUUCAGUGACCCAGAUGUAUUCAGAGCAGAGGUUGCCAUGUUGCAGUACACACCGAUUAGUUCCUUGAUGGACAUCAAAGUGCUCUCAGGUGAACUGCUGGAGGCCC